GGCGAACGCUGGCGGCGUGCUUAACACAUGCAAGUCGAGCGACGCUCUUCCUUCGGGGAGAUGACGGAGCGGCGAACGGGUGAGUAACACGUGGGCAACCUGCCCCUAGCUCUGGGACAACACCGGGAAACCGGUGCUAAUACCGGAUACGACAUCGAGCGGCAUCUCUCGAUGUGGAAAGAUUUUUCGGCUAGGGAUGGGCCCGCGGCCUAUCAGCUUGUUGGUGGGGUAAUGGCCCACCAAGGCGACGACGGGUAGCCGGCCUGAGAGGGCGACCGGCCACACUGGGACUGAGACACGGCCCAGACUCCUACGGGAGGCAGCAGUGGGGAAUAUUGCGCAAUGGGCGAAAGCCUGACGCAGCGACGCCGCGUGAGGGAUGACGGCCUUCGGGUUGUAAACCUCUUUCAGCAGGGACGAAUUCAGACGGUACCUGCAGAAGAAGCACCGGCCAACUACGUG
Molecule: ribosomal RNA, 462 nt
Filed under: uncultured bacterium
Lineage: Bacteria
Description: partial 16S ribosomal RNA
Rfam family: Bacterial small subunit ribosomal RNA
Source: RNAcentral